This 803-nucleotide ribosomal RNA is filed under the name Limosilactobacillus fermentum. RNAcentral's name for it is "bacterial SSU rRNA". It matches the Rfam family "Bacterial small subunit ribosomal RNA", at positions 38 to 826 of the family's 1533-position model. Lineage: Bacteria; Bacillati; Bacillota; Bacilli; Lactobacillales; Lactobacillaceae. The record is from RNAcentral.
CGCGUUGGCCCAAUUGAUUGAUGGUGCUUGCACCUGAUUGAUUUUGGUCGCCAACGAGUGGCGGACGGGUGAGUAACACGUAGGUAACCUGCCCAGAAGCGGGGGACAACAUUUGGAAACAGAUGCUAAUACCGCAUAACAACGUUGUUCGCAUGAACAACGCUUAAAAGAUGGCUUCUCGCUAUCACUUCUGGAUGGACCUGCGGUGCAUUAGCUUGUUGGUGGGGUAACGGCCUACCAAGGCGAUGAUGCAUAGCCGAGUUGAGAGACUGAUCGGCCACAAUGGGACUGAGACACGGCCCAUACUCCUACGGGAGGCAGCAGUAGGGAAUCUUCCACAAUGGGCGCAAGCCUGAUGGAGCAACACCGCGUGAGUGAAGAAGGGUUUCGGCUCGUAAAGCUCUGUUGUUAAAGAAGAACACGUAUGAGAGUAACUGUUCAUACGUUGACGGUAUUUAACCAGAAAGUCACGGCUAACUACGUGCCAGCAGCCGCGGUAAUACGUAGGUGGCAAGCGUUAUCCGGAUUUAUUGGGCGUAAAGAGAGUGCAGGCGGUUUUCUAAGUCUGAUGUGAAAGCCUUCGGCUUAACCGGAGAAGUGCAUCGGAAACUGGAUAACUUGAGUGCAGAAGAGGGUAGUGGAACUCCAUGUGUAGCGGUGGAAUGCGUAGAUAUAUGGAAGAACACCAGUGGCGAAGGCGGCUACCUGGUCUGCAACUGACGCUGAGACUCGAAAGCAUGGGUAGCGAACAGGAUUAGAUACCCUGGUAGUCCAUGCCGUAAACGAUGAGUGCUAGGUGUUGG